This 301-nucleotide ribosomal RNA is filed under the name uncultured bacterium. RNAcentral's name for it is "partial 16S ribosomal RNA". It matches the Rfam family "Bacterial small subunit ribosomal RNA", at positions 509 to 808 of the family's 1533-position model. The record is from RNAcentral.
CAGUAGCCGCGGUAAUACGUAGGGUGCGAGCGUUGUCCGGAUUUCUUGGGCGUAAAGGGAGCGCAGGCGGUUUAGUAAGUCUGAAGUUAAAGGCAUUGGCUCAACCAAUGUAUGCUUUGGAAACUGUUAGACUUGAGUGCAGAAGGGGAGAGUGGAAUUCCAUGUGUAGCGGUGAAACGCGUAGAUAUAUGGAGGAACACCGGUGGCGAAAGCGGCUCUCUGGUCUGUCACUGACGCUGAGGCUCGAAAGCGUGGGUAGCGAACAGGAUUAGAUACCCGUGUAGUCCCUGUCUCUUAUACA